RNAcentral lists this long non-coding RNA (283 nucleotides) under Elaeis guineensis (African oil palm). RNAcentral describes it as "long non-coding RNA (EGUI_LNC024361)". The record is from RNAcentral. Lineage: Eukaryota; Viridiplantae; Streptophyta; Magnoliopsida; Arecales; Arecaceae.
GUUGGAAUGCUUCAGAUACGAGGAUGAUUUUCAGAGAUAGGAUUGGUUUUAGAUUUUUGGAUAUAAGAGUGGUUUUUGGAUACAAAAUUGAUUUUUGGAUACAAGAUUUUUUGUUGGAAGAGAGCCUUAAGAGAGGCUAAGGCUUUUAAAAGUGAAUUUCAAGACCUAUCUUUUUCUUUAGAACUCUUCUCUUCUUAUAGGCUUCAGUCUGCUUCGGAUUUCAAAUUCAUUUGAAUCCAUUGUCUCCUUUUAUUUGGCUAAUUGUUAUCUUUUGAGAGAAUCC